GACGAACGCUGGCGGCGUGCUUAACACAUGCAAGUCGAACGGAAAGGCCCUGCUUUUGUGGGGUGCUCGAUUGGCGAACGGGUGAGUAACACGUGAGUAACCUGCCCUUGACUUUGUGAUAACUUCAGGAAACUGGGGCUCAUACCGGAUAGGAGCUCCUGCUGCAUGGUGUGGGUUGGAAAGUUUCGGCGGUUGGGGAUGGACUCGCGGCUUAUCAGCUUGUUGGUGGGGUAGUGGCUUACCAAGGCUUUGACGGGUAGCCGGCCUGAGAGGGUGACCGGCCACAUUGGGAAUGAGAUACGGCCCAGAAUGCUACGGGAGGCAGCAGUGGGGAAUAUUGCACAAUGGGCGGAAGCCUGAUGCAGCAACGCCGCGUGCGGGAUGACGGCCUUCGGGUUGUAAACCGCUUUCGCCUGUGACGAAGCGUGAGUGACGGUAAUGGGUAAAGAAGCACCGGCUAACUACGUG
Molecule: ribosomal RNA, 468 nt
Filed under: uncultured bacterium
Lineage: Bacteria
Description: partial 16S ribosomal RNA
Rfam family: Bacterial small subunit ribosomal RNA
Source: RNAcentral